Oryctolagus cuniculus (rabbit) is the source of this 1307-nucleotide non-coding RNA. NCBI's taxonomy places the organism in Eukaryota, Metazoa, Chordata, Mammalia, Lagomorpha, Leporidae. The record is from RefSeq and is a predicted model, not a curated record.
GUGACUGUAAAAGGCAGGAAGCAAAGACUAAAGCCCAGGCAGCCUGUGCUAGAGAAGUCACAUGUAUUUUGAAGAAGAUAAAUUUAUGUUGCAAUUCUUGCAUCAACACUUAUCAGCCGCUAGAUCUUGGACAGUUGACCAAGCGUCUCAAAGCUUCAGCCCCCUGAUCUAUAAAAGAGUGUGGUAACUUCUAUGAAGGAUGAUUGUAAAGGUUAAUUGAAGUUACAUGGGUCUUGUAGCACAGUGCCCAGCUCUUAGCAAAUAAUCAGUAAAUAGCUGUUAUUAACAUUUUAUUAUUUUUAUAUCUCAGCUCUCGAGACUCUAGGGAUUUCCAUUAAACUAUUUAUCUUAUUAUCAAAUAUCUCCCAAACACAGCUAUAGGCAUAAUGCUUAUAAAGUCUUGAAAUGUAUAUGUAUUCACACACAUACACACACACACACACAAUUAGAACUGCAUUAGGAUAAAAAAAUAUUCCUCUCCAACAUUGUUGAAAUUUUUAGUCUUUAUUUGUCCUUUUUUCAAAACAUCAUUAGUGUAUAUAUAGUUUCCAUACUUGAAAAUAUUUUAAUUAUUUAUUUGCUGGUUUACUCCCCAAAUACCCAGAAAGAUAGGGGCUAGUCCAGGUCAAAGCCAGGAACCUGGAACUCAACCCAACAUGGAAGGCGGGGACCCAACAACUUGAACCAUCCCCUGCUGCCUCCAGGUGGUGCAUUAGCAGGAAGCUGGAAUCGGAAAGCACAGGAGGGAAUCAAACUCAGGCACUCUGACAUGACAGGCAGAUGACCCAACUGACAGCCUAAACUGUGAACCGUCCCAGCAACUUGCAGUACUGAGGGCUUCCAUUGGUUUUCUCCUCUGCUUCUCACUCUUUUGUGAUGCUAGAGAGGACCUUAGCUACAGUCACAGCGUAGAGUGCUCCAGCUCCGUGCCUUGUUCACUUGUGUAUCUCCAGCAUCAUCCCAGCUGCCAUGGAUGGAAAUGAGCUACAUGUUUAAUUCCCAUGCCAUACUAUCUCGUGCACAGAGAUGUUUGAAGAAACAGAAAAUGGUUGAAUUCAGUUCAAUUCAGGAGACUUUUCUCUGCACCAGCAAGAAAAACAGGUAGUCAGAUACAAAUAAAGCCAGCAGAUUUAGAGACACCCCAGGAUGCUGUAACCCCAACACCAGGUAGCUGAGCCCACAUACUCUGUUGGCAAAUAAGACACUUCCAAAGCAGUCCUGGGAGACUCUGAACCUGUGCUUAGAAGCCUCCCAGUGUCAAGGAAGAGGCAGAGGAGAGUCCAAUUAAACGGAGCCUCUGUCUUCCA